UUGGAGGGCAAGUCUGGUGCCAGCAGCCGCGGUAAUUCCAGCUCCAAUAGCGUAUAUUAAAGUUGUUGCAGUUAAAAAGCUCGUAGUUGAAUUUCGGGAUCAAGGGAUCGGUCAUGCCUUGGUAUGUACUGGUCUUAUUGGUUCUCACCUUCUAAAGAACCAUGAUGUCAUUCAUUUGAUGUUAUGGGGAAUUAGGACUGUUACCUUGAAAAAAUUAGAGUGUUUAAAGCAAGCUUACGCUUGAAUACAUUAGCAUGGAAUAAUGAAAUAGGACAUCAGAUUCUAUUUUGUUGGUUUCUAGGAUCGAUGUAAUGAUUAAUAGGGAUAGUUGGGGGCAUUAGUAUUCAAUUGUCAGAGGUGAAAUUCUUGGAUUUAUUGAAGACUAACUACUUCGAAAGCAUUUGCCAAGGAUGUUUUCAUUAAUCAAGAACGAAAGUUAGGGGAUCGAAGACGAUCAGAUACCGUCGUAGUCUUAACCAUAAACUAUGCCGACUAGGGAUCGGAUGAUGUUAAUUUUUUAAUGACCCAUUCGGCGCCUUACGGGAAAC
This 548-nucleotide ribosomal RNA is filed under the name uncultured Septoglomus. RNAcentral's name for it is "SSU rRNA". It matches the Rfam family "Eukaryotic small subunit ribosomal RNA", at positions 548 to 1098 of the family's 1831-position model. The record is from RNAcentral. Lineage: Eukaryota; Fungi; Glomeromycota; Glomeromycetes; Glomerales; Glomeraceae.